Molecule: transfer RNA, 73 nt
Filed under: Dipodomys ordii (Ord's kangaroo rat)
Lineage: Eukaryota; Metazoa; Chordata; Mammalia; Rodentia; Heteromyidae
Rfam family: tRNA
About the family: Transfer RNA (tRNA) molecules are approximately 80 nucleotides in length. Their secondary structure includes four short double-helical elements and three loops (D, anti-codon, and T loops). Further hydrogen bonds mediate the characteristic L-shaped molecular structure. tRNAs have two regions of fundamental functional importance: the anti-codon, which is responsible for specific mRNA codon recognition, and the 3' end, to which the tRNAs corresponding amino acid is attached (by aminoacyl-tRNA synthetases). tRNAs cope with the degeneracy of the genetic code in two manners: having more than one tRNA (with a specific anti-codon) for a particular amino acid; and 'wobble' base-pairing, i.e. permitting non-standard base-pairing at the 3rd anti-codon position.
Source: Rfam by way of RNAcentral
GGAAAUACAGCUAAGUGUUAAGAGUGCUUGCCUUGCAAUCAUGACACCCUGAGUUCAAACCUCAGUACUUCAA